RNAcentral lists this ribosomal RNA (497 nucleotides) under uncultured bacterium. RNAcentral's name for it is "partial 16S ribosomal RNA". It matches the Rfam family "Bacterial small subunit ribosomal RNA", at positions 28 to 507 of the family's 1533-position model. The record is from RNAcentral.
GAUGAACGCUGGCGGCGUGCCUAAUACAUGCAAGUCGAGCGAACAGACGAGGAGCUUACUCCUCUGACGUUAGCGGCGGACGGGUGAGUAACACGUGGAUAACCUACCUAUAAGACUGGGAUAACUUCGGGAAACCGGAGCUAAUACCGGAUAAUAUAUUGAACCGCAUGGUUCAAUAGUGAAAGACGGUUUUGCUGUCACUUAUAGAUGGAUCCGCGCCGCAUUAGCUAGUUGGUAAGGUAACGGCUUACCAAGGCGACGAUGCGUAGCCGACCUGAGAGGGUGAUCGGCCACACUGGAACUGAGACACGGUCCAGACUCCUACGGGAGGCAGCAGUAGGGAAUCUUCCGCAAUGGGCGAAAGCCUGACGGAGCAACGCCGCGUGAGUGAUGAAGGUCUUCGGAUCGUAAAUCUCUGUUAUUAGGGAAGAACAAAUGUGUAAGUAACUAUGCACGUCUUGACGGUACCUAAUCAGAAAGCCACGGCUAACUACGUG